RNAcentral lists this ribosomal RNA (253 nucleotides) under uncultured Pseudomonas sp. Its description in RNAcentral is "partial 16S ribosomal RNA". It matches the Rfam family "Bacterial small subunit ribosomal RNA", at positions 524 to 776 of the family's 1533-position model. The record is from RNAcentral. Lineage: Bacteria; Pseudomonadati; Pseudomonadota; Gammaproteobacteria; Pseudomonadales; Pseudomonadaceae.
UACGUAGGGUGCAAGCGUUAAUCGGAAUUACUGGGCGUAAAGCGCGCGUAGGUGGUUUGAUAAGUUGGAUGUGAAAGCCCCGGGCUCAACCUGGGAAUUGCAUCCAAAACUGUCUGACUAGAGUACGGUAGAGGGUAGUGGAAUUUCCUGUGUAGCGGUGAAAUGCGUAGAUAUAGGAAGGAACACCAGUGGCGAAGGCGACUACCUGGACUGAUACUGACACUGAGGUGCGAAAGCGUGGGGAGCAAACAGG